Molecule: long non-coding RNA, 181 nt
Organism: Tachysurus fulvidraco (yellow catfish)
Lineage: Eukaryota; Metazoa; Chordata; Actinopteri; Siluriformes; Bagridae
Exons: 2
Source: RefSeq, a predicted model, not a curated record
UGACCAUCCGUUUUAUUUAAUUUCAACUGAUUUCUGCAGGCCGUGAAUUCUCCUUCAUUGCACUCAAACCACUUCCCAGUUGCCACUGCUGGGCCCCUGAGAAAGGCCCUUGACUCUGGGGAGGAAGCUCUGGGGAGACUCUGGGGAGGAAGUUCUCAUGUUUUGGCAAGCUCACUCAGAG